This 463-nucleotide ribosomal RNA is filed under the name uncultured bacterium. RNAcentral describes it as "bacterial SSU rRNA". It matches the Rfam family "Bacterial small subunit ribosomal RNA", at positions 329 to 793 of the family's 1533-position model. The record is from RNAcentral.
UCCCAGACUCCUACGGGAGGCAGCAGUGGGGAAUAUUGCACAAUGGGGGGAACCCUGAUGCAGCGACGCCGCGUGGGUGAAGGAGUACCUCGGUGCGUAAAGCCCUAUCGGCAGGGAAGAAAAGCGAACAGGUUCGCCUGGACGGUACCUGACUAAGAAGCCCCGGCUAGCUACGUGCCAGCAGCCGCGGUAAUACGUAGGGGGCAAGCGUUAUCCGGAUUCACUGGGUGUAAAGGGAGCGUAGACGGCGACGCAAGUCUGGAGUGAAAGCCCGGGGCCCAACCCCGGGACUGCUCUUGGAACUGCGCGGCUGGAGUGCAGGAGGGAUAGGCGGAAUUCCUAGUGUAGCGGUGAAAUGCGUAGAUAUUAGGAGGAACACCAGUGGCGAAGGCGGCCUACUGGACGGUGACUGACGCUGAGGCUCGAAAGCGUGGGGAGCAAACAGGAUUAGAUACCCCGGUAA